RNAcentral lists this transfer RNA (48 nucleotides) under Apis mellifera (honey bee). Its description in RNAcentral is "partial tRNA-Leu". Lineage: Eukaryota; Metazoa; Arthropoda; Insecta; Hymenoptera; Apidae. The record is from RNAcentral.
CAUUGAACUUAAGAUUCAAAUAUAAAGUAUUUUUAAACUUUUAUUAAA